CCUACGGGUGGCAGCAGUAGGGAAUCUUUGACAAUGGGCGAAAGCCUGAUGGAGCAACGCCGCGUGCAGGAUGAAGGCCUUCGGGUUGUAAACUGCUUUUAUAAGCGAGAAAUAUGAUGGUAACUUAUGAAUAAGGAUCGGCUAACUACGUGCCAGCAGCCGCGGUCAUACGUAGGAUCCGAGCAUUAUCCGGAGUGACUGGGUGUAAAGAGUUGCGUAGGUGGCAUAAUAAGUAGCUAGUGAAAUCUGGUGGCUCAACCAUUCAGACUAUUAGCUAAACUGUUAAGCUCGAGACCGUUAGGGGUAAGUGGAAUUUCUAGUGUAGGGGUGAAAUGCGUAGAUAUUAGGAGGAACCCCAAUAGCGUAGGCAGGUUGCUGGGACGGUUCUGACACUAAGGCACGAAAGCGUAGGGAGCAAACGGGAUUAGAUACCUGGGUAGUC
Molecule: ribosomal RNA, 442 nt
Filed under: uncultured bacterium
Lineage: Bacteria
Description: partial 16S ribosomal RNA
Rfam family: Bacterial small subunit ribosomal RNA
Source: RNAcentral